This is a long non-coding RNA of Erinaceus europaeus (western European hedgehog), 331 nucleotides long. RefSeq lists it as uncharacterized. The record is from RefSeq and is a predicted model, not a curated record. The transcript has 4 exons. Lineage: Eukaryota; Metazoa; Chordata; Mammalia; Eulipotyphla; Erinaceidae.
GGGACCGCCGCUCGGCGCCGGCAGCGGGCGACCGGGUCCCAGCACCCCGCUUCCGGGGGGACUCGGGGGGACACCCCGCGGGCCCGCCGCCCUCGCCACACCCACAAGGGCUUCACCACUCUGGACUACCUUGUCAAGACAGAGGCAAGCAAAAAGAAAGACACCACUGCACAGAAAUUUGCCAGCAUCUAAAAGCAACAACAUCAUCAUGUAACAUGCAGACCAUAGGUAAAAAACGAAAAACUGUUCAAUCGCUUCGCAUAUGACGGCAACCAAGCAGUGCCACUUAGCAUAUUUCCACAGAGUCCUACUUGGCGAGUUCAUCAAUAUG